GAGGAGAAUCAUUCGCAAUGGGCGAAAGCCUGACGGUGCGACGCCGCGUGAGGGAUGAAGGCCUUCGGGUUGUAAACCUCUGUCGGGAGCUAGGAACGACGAUGGUGCUAACAUCACCGUCGAGUGACCAGCUCCGAAGGAAGCUCCGGCUAACUACGUGCCAGCAGCCGCGGUAAUACGUAGGGAGCAAGCGUUACUCGGAAUCACUGGGCAUAAAGGGCGUGUAGGCGGGCGCGUAAGUCCGGUGUGAAAUCCCUCGGCUCAACUGGGGAAUGCCAUCGGAUACUGCGUGUCUUGAGUGCAGGAGGGGAGAGUGGAACUCUUGGUGGAGCGGUGAAAUGCGUAGAUAUCAAGAGGAACGCCGGCGGCGAAAGCGACUCUCUGGCCUGUUACUGACGCUGAGGCGCGAAAGCCAGGGGAGCGAACGGGAUUAGAAACCCCGGUAGUCC
This 449-nucleotide ribosomal RNA is filed under the name uncultured bacterium. RNAcentral's name for it is "bacterial SSU rRNA". It matches the Rfam family "Bacterial small subunit ribosomal RNA", at positions 354 to 796 of the family's 1533-position model. The record is from RNAcentral.